GUGCCAGCAGCCGCGGUAACCCCAGCGCCACAAGUGGGAACCAUGAUUAUUGGGUCUAAAGCAUCCGUAGCCUGUCUGUUAAAUGCCCUGUGAAAUCGUUCUGCCUAACAGGACGGCGUGCAGGGUAGACUGAUAGACUAGGGACCGGGCGAGGUAGGCGGUAUUCCGGGGGGAGCGGUAAAAUGUGAUAAUCCUCGGAGGACCACCGAUGGCGAAGGCAGCUUACCAGAACGGAUCCGACGGUGAGGGAUGAAAGCUAGGGGAGCGACCCGGAUUAGAUACCCGAGUAGUCCUAGCCGUAAACACUGUGUGCCAGAUGUUGCGUAAUCCCCGAGAUUGCGCAGUGUCGAAAUGAAGAUGUUAAGCGCACCACCUGGGAAGUACGGUUGCAAGGCUGAAACUUAAAGGAAUUGACGG
RNAcentral lists this ribosomal RNA (417 nucleotides) under uncultured organism. RNAcentral's name for it is "SSU rRNA". It matches the Rfam family "Archaeal small subunit ribosomal RNA", at positions 455 to 871 of the family's 1478-position model. The record is from RNAcentral.